GAACCGCUUUCGGGCGGGGAUUAGUGGCGAACGGGUGAGUAACACGUGGGCAAUCUGCCCUGCACUCUGGGACAAGCCCUGGAAACGGGGUCUAAUACCGGAUAUGACCGUCUGCCGCAUGGUGGAUGGUGUAAAGCUCCGGCGGUGCAGGAUGAGCCCGCGGCCUAUCAGCUUGUUGGUGAGGUAGUGGCUCACCAAGGCGACGACGGGUAGCCGGCCUGAGAGGGCGACCGGCCACACUGGGACUGAGACACGGCCCAGACUCCUACGGGAGGCAGCAGUGGGGAAUAUUGCACAAUGGGCGAAAGCCUGAUGCAGCGACGCCGCGUGAGGGAUGACGGCCUUCGGGUUGUAAACCUCUUUCAGCAGGGAAGAAGCGAAAGUGACGGUACCUGCAGAAGAAGCGCCGGCUAACUACGUGCCAGCAGCCGCGGUAAUACGUAGGGCGCAAGCGUUGUCCGGAAUUAUUGGGCGUAAAGAGCUCGUAGGCGGCUUGUCACGUCGGUUGUGAAAGCCCGGGGCUUAACCCCGGGUCUGCAGUCGAUACGGGCAGGCUAGAGUUCGGUAGGGGAGAUCGGAAUUCCUGGUGUAGCGGUGAAAUGCGCAGAUAUCAGGAGGAACACCGGUGGCGAAGGCGGAUCUCUGGGCCGAUACUGACGCUGAGGAGCGAAAGCGUGGGGAGCGAACAGGAUUAGAUACCCUGGUAGUCCACGCCGUAAACGGUGGG
RNAcentral lists this ribosomal RNA (727 nucleotides) under Streptomyces sp. YIM 61408. RNAcentral describes it as "bacterial SSU rRNA". It matches the Rfam family "Bacterial small subunit ribosomal RNA", at positions 71 to 813 of the family's 1533-position model. The record is from RNAcentral. Lineage: Bacteria; Bacillati; Actinomycetota; Actinomycetes; Kitasatosporales; Streptomycetaceae.